ACUGCCGUGAAAUUAUAAGCUUCUGAUUUAAUAUAUUCAAUUUGAAAUUUUCUCUGUGCAAUCCUUGACCAGCGAGUCUUACAGCCUGAUAUUAUACGUGAAAUGUUGAACCGCACAUAACGUCUACCGUCACCGUAUGCUCGAAUGCUUCGGCAGUCUGAUUAUUCAUUUAUUCACUCCUCCGGGCGUCACAGAUUACCUAAUCCCUAUGUUUUCCUCAACCGGGUUCGUUAGCGAAGCUGCAUACAAGUGAUUGAUAACAGAAGGAGCUGACGAUCCUUUACGAGUGCAGCCUAAGAAGUUUCGAAAAGUGCUUUCAAAGCAUGCGGUGUUACCGGUUUAAAAAGAAAACAAAAAAAAAUUAAAAUAAAUAAAUAACGCCAACAAUAAGUCCGCGACGAUGGAUGGAUCGGUUGAAAGAUCCAUCCUGAACAAGGAAUACAUAGAAUUUCAUUCGUUUCACCCCGAGACAGCGAUGAAAAAAGCUUCUUCAACAAUCUGUCGAAAGACACAGACGGACGGAUCAUUCCACUUGACGUAUAACCCGAGUUAUUUCAGUCUCCCGUUAACUGCCGCUGCAGCUUCAUAAAUUUCCUCCAAGGGAUCAAAGGUUACAAGAAGAUGCGGCGUCUAGAGGGCAACGACGAUAAGGGACAACGAGAUACGACGGGUUUCAAUUCCGCGUCAAGAAAGCCGAGGUGCUUUUUUUUCUUCCUUCCGCACGGUGUAUAAUUUUCUUUAAUACACUUUUUUUCCCCCGAGUAUAAGAUGCGACGCGUUCGACUUAUAUCUUCGAUCAUAAAAAUACAAAGAUGGUGAGAAAAUCGACCGCAAAAGGAGAUCUCGUGAAUUUUUCUAUUUUUUUUUUCUUCCUUCUUUUCACGUUAUAAUAGGGGGCUCUUUGUACGUAAUGGCAAAACGUUCGAUAGGCACCUAGAUUUAUGUACAUGUAUAAAGAAAAAGUGAUACAGCGAUGAAUACGUCGUCGUCCAUUAAAGCCGGUGAUUAAAACAAGGCUUCCUCUUCUCACGUGGCGCCAAACGGAUUAUGACGAACGUUGAGAAAAAUUCAAACACAAGAAAAAACUGCAGACUGCACGAUGCGCUGCAUAUACACGCCUUUCAUCGCCCAACGUCGGACUUUUUUGUUACGUUGUAAAAAUUUUUUCAUCUACCCUCUCUCUCAUUCUUUCUUACAGCUACUCUCAUCUUAUUCAUAUUACGAUAAUUCUCCGAAUUUUUCCAGCUUCUAGAAAUCAAAGUAAUUUUUUAGGAUAAUCGCUCUGUUAAGAAAACAAGACGCGUGAAUUAGUCGAAAGUUUAAAUUUGCGUGAAUAUUUUGACCGUGGUGUCCGGUAAAAAAAAAAAAAAAAAAAAAAAAAAAAAAAAAAAAAAAAAAAAAAAAAAAAAAAAAAAAAAAAAAAAAAAAAAAAAACCGUAACAAAUUCAUUUCCAGGACAUUUUUAGGUUAUUCAAGGACAUUCAGGAAAAAUAAAAAAACACGAAUGCAAAGGGCAGAGGGCACUGUACGCAACCGGUGCGACGUACGAGAUAUACAAUAUACGUUAUUUCGAAAAACGAAAAACGCGAUUCGAGGACAUUUUCAGAACCUCAAGGACUUCCAGGACCACUGGACACCACGUUGACGCGACGAGACGAUAUUUUGUAGAGAAGAGUGAGUGGGCAUCGGAAGCCUGCGAUGCGAUGUGCGAACUACAAGAUUUCCAGUCACGAGAAGAAGACCGCUUGACGUAAAUGGAAGUCCGUCAGUCUGCAUUUGAAUGAAGUUGUACAACGUUGAACGAUCGCUAAUAAAUUCCCCAGGGACGAUAUGUAUACCAACCAA
Molecule: long non-coding RNA, 1845 nt
Organism: Neodiprion fabricii
Lineage: Eukaryota; Metazoa; Arthropoda; Insecta; Hymenoptera; Diprionidae
Exons: 2
Source: RefSeq, a predicted model, not a curated record